Molecule: long non-coding RNA, 282 nt
Organism: Salvia splendens (bonfire salvia)
Lineage: Eukaryota; Viridiplantae; Streptophyta; Magnoliopsida; Lamiales; Lamiaceae
Exons: 3
Source: RefSeq, a predicted model, not a curated record
UCACCGGAGCUACAAUCAAUUAAGGUUUCUCCAGUUGAGCGCUGGAAGAUCUCUAGUUCGUUACGAUUCUAGUUCAAGGAAUAUGCUGGUUGGGGACCGAAUUCAAGGGUUCAAAGUAAAUAUAAAACCAGAGAAGAAGUCAAAGUUGUCAUCAGUAGUUCUGAAGAUACGUGGAAUUGAUCAGCAAAGCAACAAAUCCACACACAGUGGAUGGGCCAUUCUAACCUUGUCAUUUCAGAAGCAAAGCAACAAUCAAUGAUUUCCUUUCCAUUGCUGAUGACA